AAAGGGUGUGAACUUUGUCUUC
This 22-nucleotide non-coding RNA is filed under the name Arabidopsis thaliana (thale cress). Lineage: Eukaryota; Viridiplantae; Streptophyta; Magnoliopsida; Brassicales; Brassicaceae. The record is from RNAcentral.